GAGGGUAUAGCUCAAGUGGUAGAGCACUUGCUUAGCAUGCAUGAGGUCUAGGGUUCAAUCACCAGUACCUCCA
This 73-nucleotide transfer RNA is filed under the name Camelus bactrianus (Bactrian camel). It matches the Rfam family "tRNA". From Rfam's summary of the family: Transfer RNA (tRNA) molecules are approximately 80 nucleotides in length. Their secondary structure includes four short double-helical elements and three loops (D, anti-codon, and T loops). RNAcentral also lists the same sequence under 2 other names. The record is from Rfam by way of RNAcentral. Lineage: Eukaryota; Metazoa; Chordata; Mammalia; Artiodactyla; Camelidae.